RNAcentral lists this ribosomal RNA (395 nucleotides) under uncultured bacterium. RNAcentral's name for it is "partial 16S ribosomal RNA". It matches the Rfam family "Bacterial small subunit ribosomal RNA", at positions 523 to 918 of the family's 1533-position model. The record is from RNAcentral.
AUACGUAGGGUGCAAGCGUUAAUCGGAAUUACUGGGCGUAAAGCGUGCGCAGGCGGUUUUGUAAGACAGUGGUGAAAUCCCCGGGCUCAACCUGGGAACUGCCAUUGUGACUGCAAGGCUGGAGUGCGGCAGAGGGGGAUGGAAUUCCGCGUGUAGCAGUGAAAUGCGUAGAUAUGCGGAGGAACACCGAUGGCGAAGGCAAUCCCCUGGGCCUGCACUGACGCUCAUGCACGAAAGCGUGGGGAGCAAACAGGAUUAGAUACCCUGGUAGUCCGCGCCCUAAACGAUGUCAACUGGUUGUUGGGGAUUUAUUUUCUCAGUAACGAAGCUAACGCGUGAAGUUGACCGCCUGGGGAGUACGGCCGCAAGGUUAAAACUCAAAUGAAUUGGCGGGG